AGACCCGAAACCCGGUGAUCUAGCCAUGGGCAGGUUGAAGGUUGGGUAACACUAACUGGAGGACCGAACCGACUAAUGUUGAAAAAUUAGCGGAUGACCUGUGGCUGGGGGUGAAAGGCCAAUCAAACCGGGAGAUAGCUGGUUCUCCCCGAAAGCUAUUUAGGUAGCGCCUCGUGAAUUCAUCUCCGGGGGUAGAGCACUGUUUCGGCUAGGGGGCCAUCCCGGCUUACCAACCCGAUGCAAACUGCGAAUACCGGAGAAUGUUAUCACGGGAGACACACGGCGGGUGCUAACGUCCGUCGUGAAGAGGGAAACAACCCAGACCGCCAGCUAAGGUCCCAAAGUCAUGGUUAAGUGGGAAACGAUGUGGGAAGGCCCAGACAGCCAGGAUGUUGGCUUAGAAGCAGCCAUCAUUUAAAGAAAGCGUAAUAGCUCACUGGUCGAGUCGGCCUGCGCGGAAGAUGUAACGGGGCUAAACCAUGCACCGAAGCUGCGGCAGCGAACGUAUCACCCAAGACAACUUUACGGAGUUGACGAUUGACGGAGCGAAGCGACGUCAAAGCGUUCAUUAAAGUCGAGUUGGCUUAGGGAUACGUUCGUUGGGUAGGGGAGCGUUCUGUAAGCCUGUGAAGGUGUGUCGUGAGGCAUGCUGGAGGUAUCAGAAGUGCGAAUGCUGACAUAAGUAACGAUAAAGCGGGUGAAAAGCCCGCUCGCCGGAAGACCAAGGGUUCCUGUCCAACGUUAAUCGGGGCAGGGUGAGUCGACCCCUAAGGCGAGGCCGAAAGGCGUAGUCGAUGGGAAACGGGUUAAUAUUCCCGUACUUGGUGUUACUGCGAAGGGGGGACGGAGAAGGCUAUGUUGGCCGGGCGACGGUUGUCCCGGUUUAAGCGUGUAGGUGUGUGUUCCAGGUAAAUCCGGUUCACUUUAACACUGAGGCGUGACGACGAGGCACUACGGUGCUGAAGCAACAAAUGCCCUGCUUCCAGGAAAAGCCUCUAAGCAUCAGGUAACAUCAAAUCGUACCCCAAACCGACACAGGUGGUCAGGUAGAGAAUACCAAGGCGCUUGAGAGAACUCGGGUGAAGGAACUAGGCAAAAUGGUGCCGUAACUUCGGGAGAAGGCACGCUGACACGUAGGUGA
This 1141-nucleotide ribosomal RNA is filed under the name Salmonella enterica. RNAcentral's name for it is "partial 23S ribosomal RNA". It matches the Rfam family "Bacterial large subunit ribosomal RNA", at positions 711 to 1765 of the family's 2925-position model. Lineage: Bacteria; Pseudomonadati; Pseudomonadota; Gammaproteobacteria; Enterobacterales; Enterobacteriaceae. The record is from RNAcentral.